GUGAUUUUUUUUUGGUCUUUACAAGUUUACAACCCUAAUCGUCUGCCGCACCUCUUCCUCUCUGUGUUCUCUUUCUCUGCAGUUUUUCUUCUGCAACAGAAAUCGAGCCAUAACUUUGAUCUGCUAUUCAAUCCCGCUAAUCCAGUUACCAAAAAUAUGGUGGUUUUGCAGGUGAUGGACAAUGUUAGGGUUGAAGAUGGAAGACAAUAAAACCGUGGAAUCUAUCAAAGUAAGACUACUGAUUUCCAGGGUAUUGAUUUGAUCUGUUUUGUUUUGGGUUCAAUUUCUAAGAAGAUUUGAAGCUCUGUUAGAGUUUGUUGAUUAUUUUGGAGCUGAGAUAUGUGUUGAUUGCUACGUGUAGUUGCAGAUGAAAAGUUAGGAUUUGAUGUUGAAGACUUGAAUCAAAUCGAGAAAUGAAUUAUCUGAGAAGGAAUAAGUGUCUCAAGUUCAGAUAAUGAAGAAUUAGGGCAAGAAUCCAAUAGACUUCAAUUGCUGACAUUAUGUUAUAUUCCAUUCUUUCUUAGAUUUGUGCUUCAAAAAUACUGCGAAAGUCUGAUCUCAUUUCCAUUUGAACUUAAUGGAAGGAUACCCUAAUAGAGAUCUUAGUUAUUUAGAAUUAGUGAUCAAAAGUGCAUGUUUGGGAGGAUUUUCUAUCUCUGGAACUCACAAUUCGGUAGGGUUUUAGUACAGUCUAUAGUAACUAGCAUGUAGCACAAAUUUAUCUUUGCAAGAGCUGACAAAUUCUAGUUCAGAUAAGGCUUAAAUAACAGAUUGCAGAAGGAGCACAGAAUGGAGUAUAGUAUCAGGUCGUCCCGUCCUGGUAAUAUAUCUAUCUCUAAUAUAUUUUUGAACAAGGGUCUAACACCAGCUGCAAUGUCUCCAUUUGUUUUGCAAUGGGUGUCUAACAACCAAUUGAUUGUUUGGUUGCAAUGCCUCUUGCAUUUUGGUGAUAUGUUGAAAUACCAGUUCUAGUCUCUUGCUUAUCUGGUGCUAAUUUUAUCUUGCAUUUGGAUUUGUUUUAUUGCUGCUGGCAUAACUCAUAAGUUGUCUUGGCAGACAGAAUAUUCCUGAAUGAACAAUUGCUCAUUCAUCAUAAUAGUAUUUUCUUCCGGCGGAGCUUUGUCUUAAACUUUUGAAUCUAGAAAAACAUGGUUAAAAAUAUGACUUCUGUCUUCUCUUGCAAAUCCAGAUACUUUAUGUUAAACUUUCUGUUUGUUAUUGUUAAAUAGCUUAAGACGGGUAAUCAAAUUGCAAAUCCAGAUACUUUAUAUGAUGGACAAUAACAAACAGAAAGCUAACCCUUGGGCAGCAAAAAGAUGGUUUGCGUAAGACGGGUCAUCAAAUUGCAAAUCCAGAUACUUGGAUAUUAAUGGAAGUUAACUCAUCCUGCAGUACGCAUAAGUUGGGAAGGAAAAUUUUAAGUAUUCGGAGAGGCUGCACACUGGAGGACAAUGCAAGGUGAAUCUCAUGCGGGUAAUGAUGAGCUUCUAGAAGAAAUAAAAUUGCCACCAAAUAGAGAUGAUUUCUCUUCCUCCUGAAAGGAAAGUAUGGUCUUCUUACAUGCUUUUGGAUUGUCAAACAGUCUUUCAUUUGUUUUGGAACAAUCCUAUCUAACUGUAUCCUUUGCUAACUCAGAUGGUGGAAGAAUCGUGGCCAUAAUCUUGUGAAUCAAAUACAAGAUUAUAGAUGUAGUAGCUGCAUAAAGUAUGGUUUCCAUCGAAAAGACUAGCACCACAGGAAAUUGAAUGCUUAAUUGUUUUGUAAGGAUAAGUUCUUCAUUUGUGAACAUUUGUAUAUUAAACUGUAAGGCUUGGUAGGAUUGCUUGAUAGGAUAAGAACUGAUUAAUUUUGUUAAAUAUAAUCUAAGCAUCAAACAUGGUUUUAAUCUCCUUAUACUACUAA
Molecule: long non-coding RNA, 1902 nt
Organism: Papaver somniferum (opium poppy)
Lineage: Eukaryota; Viridiplantae; Streptophyta; Magnoliopsida; Ranunculales; Papaveraceae
Exons: 5
Source: RefSeq, a predicted model, not a curated record